RNAcentral lists this small nucleolar RNA (120 nucleotides) under Echinops telfairi (small Madagascar hedgehog). RNAcentral's name for it is "Small nucleolar RNA SNORA61 (ENSETEG00000024631.1)". Lineage: Eukaryota; Metazoa; Chordata; Mammalia; Afrosoricida; Tenrecidae. The record is from RNAcentral.
ACCCACUUGUCUCCUUUCCCAUCCGACCUAAACACGGGUCUAAGUGGUUAUAAAAGGAGGAAAGUCAAGUUGAAACAGAUUGCAAUUUUUGCGUGACACAUGAGCUGGCUUCAAACAAAC